UUUUUUUGAAGAUAAUCCGCGUCUACUCAAAAUAAUAGCACAAAGCAUCAACAGCUCGAAAAAUUUGAAGUACCAAUAGAUGCAUUUUAUAAGUACAUAAAUUUGUAGAUGAGCCCUUAAGAACUUUAUGAUUACCUACGUAUAAAAAGUGGUCCAUUCAUGUAGGUUGGUAGGUAGGUAGGUAGGUAGGUAGGUACCUACUAUUGCAAAAAAAAAAUUGAUGAAUAUUUUAUUCUACAACUAAUAUCGAGCUUCCAUAAGAUUCUUUUCAAAAAUAUCUCAGAGAUCUUUAAAUAAUGUUGGAGGUUUUCAUUAAAAUAAAUUAGAUAUAAGUAUUGAAUAAAUAGGUAGUCUACAUUGGCAAACAAUAAAAAUAUUAUAUAGAUACGUUUAAUACAUACUUCCACGUCCCCGAAUGGAUUAUUUAGGAAAAUUGUGCACACACUGUGUAUAGAUCCUCCAAAUCAUCGAAACAACUUUUAUUGUUAGAAAUGUCAUAAAAUAUUUCAGUAAUUUGGUCAGGAUGAGGAACAUGUUCCACAAUGAAUUUUAUUUUGGGCUAUUCUGAUCUACAACUGUUUUAGCGAUGAAUUAAAAAACAGUACAUAUGGAUUCGGACGUUUUAUUUUAUCAUACCUACUCAAUUUUUGACUUGAAUUCAUAUGUUGGUAUCUUGAAAAACGAAACAGGCUCGGUAUACUUACUAAAGCUUUUGGAGGAUAAUCCGCAAUUUUUUCAAAUCAUUUUUUAAUAUUGAUGAACGCACUAACACAACUCUCCCCCGGGGUUUCAAACGAAAUGUUGCCUAUAUCUUGUAGCUCUUUGAUUUCAAGUCCUGGAAUAUGAGGUUGAAUGUUGGAAAUUUUACCGUGUAUUUUAAAUGGGAGAAAAAAUUUUUAAAUUAAAAACGUAAACAAAUGGCUAUGAUCAACGGGUAGAACUCGAUGAGAGAAACAAAAAAUGUUAUUUAAACUUUUUGCGUAGCUCCACUUUCGAAGAAGUUAGAGAUCAUCGAAGAUCAGAACUGAAAAUUUAAUAGGCAAAUUUUACAUAUUUAUGUAGGUAUUUUUUUUAAAUCAGUAGUUUGUUGCUAUGAGUGGGUAGCACAAGUCUCUAUGAACAAAAAACAUAUCACUUUUUGCCUAAUCUCAUUAUUGAAGGGAUUGUUUUGUGUUUUUUAAUCCAAACUCACAUGAGUGAAAACUGAUUAUAAAAUAAACUUUUAUAGAAAAUUCUUAUUCUCGCGAUUAUAAUUUUCGUUUGUGUUAGGUGUGCAUAUGCUGAUUAUUUUAAAACAAGUGAUACAUAAUACAUUUUCGCACCAUGAACAUUGUAAAAAUGACUUCGUCAAAUUGCAAACAUCGCAUUUAUUUUUUAUAAAAUUGAAAUUUAUGUUUUUAUUAAACUGGUGUAUCCUUCGAGGAUUUCCACAUUAAAUCUCCACUUUCUCCAGCCGGCUUUAAAAAUCGAAUGAAACUUGGGGGACUGGAAUUGAUUUAAAAUUAGAUUGUUGAGCAAAAUAAUAUCGUAUUAUUACGAUCAUGAAGUUAUGUCAUCACUAGUAGAAGGAUCAAUCAUUGUCAAUAAACGAGGAUUCGGACGUUUGAUUUUUAUUAUAAUUUUCAACUUGAAUUCGUAUCUAAAAAACAAAACUUGAAUUUAAUUACUUAUAGCGGAUAGCUAACUAAAUAAAUUGAUUAAAAAUGAAAUAAUUUUUGAUAAAUUCCAAUUUUUUUGAAUUGGUAUGACCUAUUGAUACUUAGCUUCAAGCCUAUUCUUCAUGAUGGGUAGAUAGGUUGUGAAAAAUCUGAUGCUUUUCAAAAAUAACUUGGAAAUGUCUAAAAUAAUGUUGGAGAUUUCAUUAAAAAAAAAAUUAGGUGCAUCGUAUAAGUAUUUAACAGUUGAUAUCUGCAAAAUAUACUUAGGUAGGUACGUUUAAUACAAACUUCACGUCGCCAAGUGGAUUAUUCAAUUUUUUUGGAUUGCUCAAUUCCAAUGCAUGCUUUUCGUAAAAAUGUCUGAGUUAAAGUAAAGUUUCAUAUUCUUCAUGAUUUCGUUUGCUCCAAAAUAUUCUCAGUAUUUAGAAAGAGCGUUAUAUUAAUUUGAAAAAAUGCACCUAUAUUGACAAAAAAAACAUUCGUUUGAGCUCUGUUCAAUCAAUGAGCAAUUUUUGUGCUUUUUUAAAAUUUCCAAGAGAAUGUUCAUCUCAAAUCUCAAUCACAAUUUAUUGUCACUUCUAAAUAGGUACCGGUACCCAUCUAUGAAGGAAUAAGGUAUAGUACUAGCUAGCGUAUUUGUUUUAAUAAAGUAUAAGAUCCAAAUCUCGAGAUAUUUAUUAAUGAAAUUAUAAUAAUUUUUAUCAAUAUUUACGUAAUUUAAAAAAAAUUAUCAACUCUAAAUUUAAAUUAAUAAUUAAAUAUCAAAAUUACAAAUAUUAAUCUUUUCGUACUAAAUUUACGAUUUAAUUCGCAAUCUUGUUACCUACUCAAGUUACGAGUUUUCUCGCCUUGCUUUUCUUCUGUCUCUAUUAAAAUGAAAUAAAUAAGUAAGCAAAAAAAUUAAAAAAUAUACAAAAGAAAACAAAAGAUCCGAAAAUAUUGAAUGUAGAAAUCAAAAAAAUUACACAACAAAAUUUGAAGUUUUGAAAACAUUACAUGUAUAGGUAAUGAACAAAAAAAAAAAAAUUAGCCUUUCAGUGCAUGCUGUGCAUAAAAAAAUAAUUUGAAUCUAAUUGAAAAACAAAAUAUGGUAAACAAAAUGUAAUGAUAAUGAACCAUUUCAUUCUUAUAUUAAAAAAAAAAAAAAAAAAAAAAAUGAAAAGAUGAAUAAAAAAUGAAAAUUUGAAAAAAAAGAAAACUUAUUAAUACACGUACAAAAUUUACUCGCGGUCAUCAAUCAAUGGAAAAUUGGAAAAAGAAAACAGCGGAAACGAAAAAAAAGAAGCGGAGACAUUGCGAAGCGUACCUACUCAAUCAGAAAUGAAAAAGAGACACCAGUAUGUAUUGCAAUAAAGAUUCUCCAGCGAUUCGCCGGUUUCAUCAGUCAUAUAAAUAACGUCAGAGACAACGAUAACAUUCCAAGCAUUCAACAAAUGAAAUAUUAAUCGAUAUUUUCACAUUCUGGCGAAACACAACAACCGAUCCAAAAUACAGUUAUCAACCAACUUCUCCUUCAAUAAAUUUUAGAAGCGAUGCAAGACCCAGAACAUCAACCGUCUCAGCUGGCUAAAGAUCAAGAAAAUUAUAUGUUCAAAAACAAAAUAGAUUAAAUGGUCUUGAUCGCUGAAAAUAGCAAAAAUACAGUCAACAUAGUUUUCUCAGCAUUCAACAUGGAGCGAAAUGACGAAAAACCCUCCAUUCAGUGACAUCAGUAACAAUAAUGAGAAAUCUACUGAUUGUCAGAUCGACGGAUGCAAUUUACCUUUGUGUAAUGUGCAAUAAAAACAUGCUAUUGAAAAAAUUACUGAAAAUUCAAUCUAAGGCAAGUUCAAUAGAAUCUGGCUCAUAAGAGUACCUACUGGAAAUGGUGACGGAGGUGAUAAGCAUACCACAAAAUUUUCAUUCCAUGUUUCAACUAUGGGCUCGAUUUGAAAACAACUAAAAAAGUGCGAUGGUAGUUCUGCGAGUAUAUUUAAUGGCUUGCUAUGUUCAGCUGCCAUAUUUCUCAUGAUAUUUUAUGUACCUACUUAUACAUAUCUACUUACUAUACGAUGAGAAAAUUUAUUCUCUUGAAAUUUCAAGUAAUUUAGUACCACAUUUGUACAUUUAUUGAAUGAGUUACCUACCUGUACCUUCAAUGCACUUACUCGUACUUUUAAUUGUGUUAUUAUUGUACCUACUUGAUCUAUUUUUUAAAUUAAAAAUAUGCAAGUUGAAACUUUUAUUGUU
Molecule: long non-coding RNA, 3887 nt
Organism: Planococcus citri (citrus mealybug)
Lineage: Eukaryota; Metazoa; Arthropoda; Insecta; Hemiptera; Pseudococcidae
Exons: 4
Source: RefSeq, a predicted model, not a curated record